UUCAGCCAAAGGCAAACUAAUCGAAAGGUUAGGACGCAAAACCUCAGAUCUAACGCUUAAUAGCUAUGAUGGCUGGGUUUCCUGA
RNAcentral lists this non-coding RNA (85 nucleotides) under Priestia flexa. Its description in RNAcentral is "Bacillus flexus GEMM cis-regulatory element". It matches the Rfam family "c-di-GMP-I riboswitch aptamer". Rfam says of the family: GEMM was predicted in a large-scale screen for bacterial structured RNA regulatory elements. The record is from RNAcentral. Lineage: Bacteria; Bacillati; Bacillota; Bacilli; Caryophanales; Bacillaceae.